GAGUUUGAUUCUGGCUCAGAUUGAACGCUGGCGGCAUGCUUACACAUGCAAGUCGAACGGUAACAGGCCGCAAGGUGCUGACGAGUGGCGAACGGGUGGUAAUGCAUCGGAACGUGCCCAGUCGUGGGGGAUAACGCAGCGAAAGCUGCGCUAAUACGCAUACGAUCUGCGGAUGAAAGCGGGGGACCUUCGGGCCUCGCGCGAUUGGAGCGGCCGUGUCAGAUUAGGUAGUUGGUGGGGUAAAGGCCCACCAAGCCGACGAUCUGUAGCUGGUCGAGAGGACGACCAGCCACACUGGGACUGAGACACGGCCCAGACUCCUACGGGAGGCAGCGUGGGGAAUUUUGGACAAUGGGCGCAAGCCUGAUCCAGCAAUGCCGCGUGCAGGAAGAAGCCUUCGGGUUGUAAACUGCUUUUGUACGGAACGAAACGGCUCUGGUUAAUACCCGGGGUAAUGACGGUACCGUAAGAAUAAGCACCGGCUAACUACGUGCCAGCAGCCGCGGUAAU
Molecule: ribosomal RNA, 510 nt
Filed under: uncultured beta proteobacterium
Lineage: Bacteria; Pseudomonadati; Pseudomonadota; Betaproteobacteria
Description: bacterial SSU rRNA
Rfam family: Bacterial small subunit ribosomal RNA
Source: RNAcentral